CAGGGAGACAAACAUUGAUCAUGAUGUCUGAGUUUUUUAUCUUAGGCCUUGAUCCUGUCACCUUAGGUCGAUCGGUACCUCAGAUUUUUUUCCAUAAAAUGGAAAAAAAUUUCAGUUCCUAAACUUGUCUAGGUCACACCCAGCAAGGGUUCUCCUGGGCCAUUAGCUCAGGUGGUUAGAACGCACCCCUGAUAAGGGUGAGGUCCCUGGUUCAAGUCCAGGAUGGCCCAUUCGUUGUUGGGGGUAUAGCUCAGUUGGUAGAGCGCCUGCUUUGCAAGCAGGAUGUCAGCGGUUCGAGUCCGCUUACCUCCACUGAUCUAUCACCUGAUAACCAAAGCUUUAAGGAGAAAUAACUUUGCUAUUUGUGAUUUAGACCUUUUUCUGAAUGAACCUAGCUUCCUAUCAUUCUUUUUCUAAAAAAUACUUUAGAGAGUUGAUAAGACGCUGGGCUCACUGGAAUCCGAUAGGAUUUCGGGAGUUCAGAAGAACCUUGACAACUGCAUAGAUAAAAGUCUGGAAAGAAUAAAGCAUCUCAUGGAUGCAUAAUUCUCUAGAUGUUAGAUAAAGGGAUAACGUUUUAUUAUGUUAUUUCUAAUCCAAACAAAAGAGAAUUAAUGUUGAAUUCUUGAGUAAGAACCAAGACUCUAUAGUUUUAUAGAGGCUAAU
RNAcentral lists this transfer RNA (666 nucleotides) under uncultured cyanobacterium. RNAcentral describes it as "partial miscellaneous RNA". The stretch from base 240 to 312 matches the Rfam family "tRNA". The record is from RNAcentral. Lineage: Bacteria; Bacillati; Cyanobacteriota.